GCUGGGUACGGUGCUGCAUGCCUGUAAUCCCAGUGACCAGUGAGGCUCAGGCAGGAGGAUCACAAGUUCAAAGCCAGCCUCAGCAAUUUGGCCAGGCCCUAAGCAACUUAGAGAGACCCUGUCUGAA
This 127-nucleotide small RNA is filed under the name Marmota monax (woodchuck). The record is from RNAcentral. Lineage: Eukaryota; Metazoa; Chordata; Mammalia; Rodentia; Sciuridae.